AGGUGUUUAUAUUGAUUCUCUCCAGAAACACAAGAUCUGCCACAGCCAAGCAGACUCCUGAGUCAUUACAGCAGCAUCCUGACUCCAGGGGUGCUUCAGAGGAAGAGGAGGGGAGGAGGCAUGUUGCCAGCUGCUCCAUGUCCUUUGGAGAGAAUCAUCUUCCUGAUUUUGGCCUGACCAUGUCCUGACGCAUAGCUCGUGACUGCUCAGUAACCUUUCUCAGCUCCAAAGACUUAUCCCAUUUCCCUUUUCACUUUCCAGGUUGGAAGAAGCUUGGUGUCCAUGUGUGUUUGCACUGCUGCUCCAGACAGACAGUGGGACCAGCCUCUUGGUCCUGCACUCUGGACUAAAGCCAGCGUGGUCAACAGAGAUACUGAUCAUCUGUAAAGGAGACCUGCAAACUGGAUUUGCCCAGGGAAAGUUUGGAAAGUGGUCCCAGCUAAAACACUUGGAUAAGCAUGGCUGUGACACCUCACACCACAGCGUGGAUUUUGUUUCCUGCAGAUGCCACCACAAAUGCUGUUAUAGUCCCCAAAAUAUCCAUCCCUCAAAUGCUGAGACAAUCCUCAGCCUUUCAGGAAAAAGCCGUUUGCUCAGUUGGGUCCAGAAGCUUUGACAGACUCCUGCUGGCAGUGGGCAAACCUCAGUCCAAGACAGGAAGACCAACAUCUCUGUAAAGCAUCUAGAGACUGGGAAAAAGAAAGAAAAAAGGAGAUGAGGGGAAAGAAAGGAAGUAAUGUCUUCCUGCAUCUGUGGCACAAACACUGAUGCCACAUCAGAAGAAAUGGGUUCUUAAAAAGAUCCCCUCCUGCUCUUUAUAAAUAUCCCUUCUUUCCUUCUUUUUACCAUUUUUUUAAAGAAAAGGCGGAAAAAGAAUGCAGAAAAAAAGCCUGCCAUCCAGACAGUGGUAUCCUUUGAAUAGCAAAUCACAAAAAAAGUUGUUUUUUUUUUCCUUUCAGUGAGGGGGUGGAGUUGAAGUGUUUGAAAUCCAGGCCAAAGGAUUACUUCACAUUUCUUCUAAGGAAUGAAACCUUUAAAAAAAAAGAAGGGUCUAUUUUGUAUUACUCAGCAGUUCUUCUUUCUUAUUUUCUUCUGUGGAAAAUUGUUGGUUUUUUUCGCUAAUAAAGUGUUUAUUACGCAGUCCUGCACACUCACACAUCCACACACACACAAGCACAGAGCUCUUUAUAAAGAGAAAAUCAGGCUGGCGCUGCAGAAGCGCAGAGAGGAUCUUUCGCUAAAAUGAUCUCAAGCAAACUGCAUGAGGAUGGUGUAGACAGAUGCCAAAAAAGAGGGGCCCCAUCAACCCAACAGGCCCUGCUGUGAAUCACCAAAGCACCAGGGUGGUUAUCUGCUCCUGGACAGUUUUAAAUUGUGCAAGAACCAGGCAGUCUCAUGAUCAAAUGAGUGCUUGAAUGAAUGUGUGCUUGAACUCUAAGGACUUUUGCAAUGCCUGGACAGACCAUUCUUUAAAGGAGUUUUGAUUUCUUCAAGUAGACAACAUGCUUUCGCAGCUCUGCCUUUGUGCAUCUGAAGAUACUAAAGAGAGUGAAGUUGUCUCCAAGCUACUUUUGAAGAGGAAAACCACUCGCCAGGCUUGUCCACCAUUGAGUUGCAUUUCACCCCGGCUGGAAGGCGACAGGGCACAUCUGUAUUCUUCCUAUUCUAUGGGACCCCAGCUCAGAAGGGGGCAACGUGGAAAUGUGAGCGGCUACCAAGAGCUUUCUGAGAUCUAAUGAAACAGUGCAACUGAAAAAACGGGUGGGAGGGCAAGGGGGUGAGCAAGGAAUAAAUAAAUAAAUAUAUAAAUUAGUGAGCAAGCAAGCCCCAAAACAAUGGGAAUGCAGCAUUCUUCCCCAUUCAUUCAGCUGACAGUGCUUUUGCAACUUAAACCUGUUUUAUUAAUUAUGUUUGACAUUUCCUUAAUUAGUUUCAUUUACAUCCCAUCAGCCCCUACCAGACGAUUGCCCCAUACAUCAUUUCACCAGAGGACUGAGAUGCCUACAGAAUUACAAAAUCAACCCCGCCAAUCCUCAGUAACUCAUCACUGUAUAUUUCACAGAUUUUGAGAAUUAGUCUUUUCACCUCCUAGUUUUCCUUAAAAAAUAUACAGAUAUUUCAUCACCUUUUUAAAAUUAUUAUGACAUUUUCAAAGGAACGUGAUGCUUGACUAAAUUUCUAUUCUGCUUCUAUGCACACAUUUUGCUUUGGUUUACAGCUCCUAUAGAUGUUGACAUGACAAAAUGUGGACUUUAAUGUUGGAUCCCAUUCUCUGGACCCUGUCCUGGCUCCACUGAGCCCAGUCUGCCCCAGUGCUUUCCCCAGUUAGCUCUGCACACUCACGGUAGCUUCCUUUAAAUUAUAGGUAGGUUCCUGUUGUCCCCACAGUUGCUAUGCAGUUUUCUAUAUAUUGAUUAAUUGCCACAGACAGCUUGACAGAAUUUAGCAAGAAUUAAAGGGUUGUUUGGCUGUUUCAUGCCAUUGCUCUGACUUACCUGUGUUUGUCCUACUUUUCUCUCCAUCCUUUCCCUGGGCUGGUGUAUGUGCUGUCACUUUGCACGUUGAGUAGUCAGAGACAGGGAUACCAUUAGAGCCAGACAUUUUAAAGUACAUAAUAUUUUAGACUCAGCUUAAUGAGUUGCUCGUUGCUAUAACGAACAGUGAAACUGGGAGAGACAGAGCCCUGUGCCUCAUGGUGGGGCUGCUCAGAGAUCUCCAGGCUGAUGCAGGUCAGAGUUUAUCACAAAGACAACUCAGUGCUUUCAGUCUGGAAGCUGAACAGCCAAAAAUCACGCGGUGCUGCCUCAGAAGACCCCGAGUCUCCUGUCGAAGCAGCUAGUCCUGCACACCCAACCCAAGAGCCACCUGGCAGGACCUGGACCUGCUGCUUGGGCUGUCGGAUGCUUGGUGCAGAACCCAGCUCCUCUGUCCAGAACUCAGCACACAGCGACUGACCUUUCCUGGCUAGGGUAAACUGACAACCUGUUUUUGCUAAUCCCAGAAUGUGUGACCAGGAGCUGUCAUUUUGGAGUCAUCACACUCUCUGUUGAUAACAGUGAAGUUAAUCAUGCAGAAGGAAAAAAAACCCUCAUAUUAAAGCAGAUAAUUAUUCCCUAGUUCCUGAAUAACACAUGCAAGGGAAAUUGAUUCUUAUUGUCUUUGUAAACUAUGAUACUUCAGCACAUUUUCUGCUUAGUAUAGGUGCUUAGGAAUCCUUUGUCAUUUACACUUCUUAGACCAGGAUUGUUGUGCUGUGUAGCUUCUGGCUACCCAGCACAUGAAGAAAGGAGAGAUUUCUCAGUUGUGGACUGCUGUACUUCAGAGACAGAGCCCAUGCUCAUUUUGUAACAUAAAAAAAUGGCACUGUGUGAGCUUAUCGAUAGUAACUAACCUGCUUAUCUUGAUUGCUUUGAGAAGUUCAUAAUCUAAUUAAAAAGAUAGCUGAGGAGAAGUUGUCUCCAUCCAACCACCUACCUGUCCUUGUAUGGGCAGUCCAGGUUUCUGUGUAACAGCACAGUGUAGGAUCUUCCAGUUCAAGCCCUCCCAAUACAAGUACCAGAUGGACUUACAAGCUGCAAUAAGAGAAAUAUUCAUGCAACAUAUGGAAAUAUAUUAAAUAAAGGAAACACAGUCAAAGAAA
This is a long non-coding RNA of Columba livia (rock pigeon), 3640 nucleotides long. RefSeq lists it as uncharacterized. NCBI's taxonomy places the organism in Eukaryota, Metazoa, Chordata, Aves, Columbiformes, Columbidae. The transcript has 5 exons. The record is from RefSeq and is a predicted model, not a curated record.